This is a long non-coding RNA of Oncorhynchus tshawytscha (Chinook salmon), 1661 nucleotides long. The record is from Ensembl. NCBI's taxonomy places the organism in Eukaryota, Metazoa, Chordata, Actinopteri, Salmoniformes, Salmonidae.
AAUGUUGUUGAGGUGCUUGGGGGGGGGCGUGGUGUUUUCUCAGGUAACAUACAAAGAGCUAGGGCUUUUAGGGGCAUUGCACUUUGCUUGUUGAGAGGCAAUGAGGCUGUGUAUGGAUAUUGCGGUGCCACUGCUGGCUAUGGUGCACAUGACCUACAUCUGUGAAGCAGGUAAGUGUCCAUAUAUUAUCUGUAUUAUAAGUAUCUUUAAACCCCUGAACUGGAAACAGCUCAGUUGCAGGUGUUUCAAGAACAAAUAAUGGAAUUGGUCAUUUAAUUGCCACAUGAGCGUUUCAAAGCACCUUAUAAUGGCUAUACAAGUAAGUUAUUUUAACAUCUGUCUCUCUGUAAGACUCAGAGCUGGUGAUCCAUAUCAAAGUGAUGGUGUUGCAAGGACAAAAGAAAAACAAAUAUAUGGAGUAAAAAUGUACUCAUAUUUGAUUUGAUAUUAUUUGACUUGGUUCUAUCACUAUUUUCACCAUUGUCAUCCGGUACUACAUUUCACAUUGAUAUUUUAGUUACUUAGGACAUUAUUCCUAUGGACAUUAAGUACUGUGUGUUGGUGCAAAUAUUCCUCUGUGGGUUUUUUGUUGUUUUUGUAGCUCUGCUGAGGAAAUCCACAGCGGCUGACUUCCUAAGACCAGUAAGAGAGAAGCGUGCUGCAGAGUGUUUCCCUGCAGGCUGCAGUAUGGAGGACAGUGAUGCUGAGGAGCUACUGGAGGCCAACUCACACUACAAGGACAGUCCGAAGAUGCUGUUGAAUGGUGGCACUGGGGCAGGGGUGAACUCGAGUCCUGGUAGUGAGGCUACGGUGGAGGAAGGCUCAGGGAUGUAGCCCUGGGAUGUACUGUUGCAUCAUCAGGCCAACGCCAGGAGAGCUGCAGCAGACAGACAGGAGAUGCAUGGGUCUUAUCUAUAACGAAUGACAAAAUGCAAGGCCAAAUAUUCCACUUUAUUAAUCAUUAUCUUUUGGGAUGGGUGGAAUUAUAAAAACUUUAAAUAAUGGAAAUAUAGAAUUCCAGGGUCUUUGUGAAAGAUGGAUUUAUUAUAAUAUUGUUAUUGUCUCUGCUUUGUCAAACCAUUUGAUUUAUGAUUUGGGAGUCUACUAAGAUUUGUUUCACAGUACUUCUUGAUUUUUAACAAAAAACGGCUAACACUUGUUAUAUUAGUUAAAGAAUCAUAUAAUUGCCUACCUUCAUAUUGGUGCUUCGUAAGAAUGGUGCUCAGUACCUCAUUUAUUUUGCAAGUUAUCUUUGUAGAAUCAUAGAUCUUAAACUGCAUAGGUACAGCUCUUUAUAAGCCAUGAAUUGUCCAAAUGAAAUAUUUCCCACUUUGACAGUUAAGAAUGGUAAAACUCGAACUAUGAGAAGUAAUUGAAGUUGAUAUACUAAAUUAUAUUAUGUGGAGCAAUGGAAAAUAUUUGUAUAAUAUUUUGACAAUGUACUUUUUGAAGAUUUGCAAACAAAAUGCUUUUACCAUUUACAACUAAUUUUACAAAAUUCCAUUGUAAUGUGCCUACUCCCAAGUCAAAAAUUAUAGGGAAUUAUCCCUGACCUGUAUCACCUGUAUUUAAACAUCCAACUUACUGAUUUAGAAAUAUAUAGGCAGGCCUACUUUAGAAAUGUCUGUGUAAAUAUCUCAAUAAAUGCAUAUUUUAAUCAA